This 500-nucleotide unclassified non-coding RNA is filed under the name uncultured Glomus. RNAcentral describes it as "SSU rRNA". It matches the Rfam family "Eukaryotic small subunit ribosomal RNA", at positions 591 to 1092 of the family's 1831-position model. Lineage: Eukaryota; Fungi; Glomeromycota; Glomeromycetes; Glomerales; Glomeraceae. The record is from RNAcentral.
CCAAUAGCGUAUAUUAAAGUUGUUGCAGUUAAAAAGCUCGUAGUUGAAUUUCGGGGUCAGUUGGUCGGUCGUGCCACUGGUAUGAACUGGUUUUACUGAUUCCUCCCUCUUGAAGAACUGUAAUGCCAUUAAUUUGGUGUUGCAGGGAAUCAGGACUGUUACUUUGAAAAAAUUAGAGUGUUUAAAGCAGGCUUUAGCUUGAAUACAUUAGCAUGGAAUAAUGAAAUAGGACGUUUGAUCCUAUUUUGUUGGUUUCUAGGAUUGACGUAAUGAUUAAUAGGGAUAGUUGGGGGCAUUAGUAUUCAAUUGUCAGAGGUGAAAUUCUUGGAUUUAUUGAAGACUAACUACUGCGAAAGCAUUUGCCAAGGAUGUUUUCAUUAAUCAAGAACGAAAGUUAGGGGAUCGAAGACGAUCAGAUACCGUCGUAGUCUUAACCAUAAACUAUGCCGACUAGGGAUCGGAUGAUGUUAAUUUUUUAAUGACUCAUUCGGCGCCUUACG